Molecule: ribosomal RNA, 501 nt
Filed under: uncultured bacterium
Lineage: Bacteria
Description: partial 16S ribosomal RNA
Rfam family: Bacterial small subunit ribosomal RNA
Source: RNAcentral
AUUGAACGCUGGCGGCAUGCCUUACACAUGCAAGUCGAACGGCAGCACGGGUGCUUGCACCUGGUGGCGAGUGGCGAACGGGUGAGUAAUAUAUCGGAACGUACCUUAUUGUGGGGGAUAACGCAGCGAAAGCUGUGCUAAUACCGCAUAAUCCCUAAGGGGGAACGCGGGGGACCGUAAGGCCUCGCGCAAUUAGAGCGGCCGAUACCUGAUUAGCUAGUUGGUGAGGUAAAGGCUCACCAAGGCAACGAUCAGUAGCUGGUCUGAGAGGACGAUCAGCCACACUGGGACUGAGACACGGCCCAGACUCCUACGGGAGGCAGCAGUGGAGAAUUUUGGACAAUGGGGGCAACCCUGAUCCAGCAAUGCCGCGUGAGUGAAGAAGGCCUUCGGGUUGUAAAGCUCUUUUGUCAGGGAAGAAACAGCAGCUCUAACACAGUUUGCGAAUGACGGUACCUGAAGAAUAAGCACCGGCUAACUACGUGCCAGCAGCCGCGGUGA